This 253-nucleotide ribosomal RNA is filed under the name uncultured bacterium. RNAcentral's name for it is "partial 16S ribosomal RNA". It matches the Rfam family "Bacterial small subunit ribosomal RNA", at positions 524 to 776 of the family's 1533-position model. The record is from RNAcentral.
UACGUAGGGUGCAAGCGUUGCCCGGAUUUAUUGGGUUUAAAGGGUGCGUAGGCGGCCUUGUAAGUCAGUGCUGAAAUAUCCCGGCUCAACCGGGAGGGUGGCAUUGACACUGCAGGGCUUGAGUACAGAUGAGGUAGGCGGAAUUGACGGUGUAGCGGUGAAAUGCAUAGAUAUCGUCAAGAACACCUAUAGCGAAGGCAGCUUACUAAGCUGUAACUGACGCUGAGGCACGAAAGUGUGGGGAGCAAACGGG